Molecule: RNA transcript, 1857 nt
Organism: Solanum tuberosum (potato)
Lineage: Eukaryota; Viridiplantae; Streptophyta; Magnoliopsida; Solanales; Solanaceae
Gene name: sugar transporter ERD6-like 5
Exons: 10
Source: RefSeq, a predicted model, not a curated record
AUAAAUGAAACAUUUAUAAUAAAAAUUUCAUCAAACGGUCUUUAGUUUUUAGUGAUCUUUGCUAUUGAGUUAGAAUGAUCCUAAAGUUCUUCUCUAAUCCGUAAGUAGAUUGAACUGAAAUCUUAUUUGAGGGAAGUGCUCAGUGCUACUGAGUAUAGAUAAUUCUCAGUUUGUUGGACCAGUGACAAACUCUAUUGGUGAUGUCCAAUAGCCUUUGAUAACUUGGAUGGGACAACAAUAUCUCCUUCACCAUCGACAGCUUCAUCACAUCCUUCUGUUAGCACCCAAUUUUCCCACUAUAGACAUAUCAAAUAUAGACAAAUUAGUGUGUUGUUGUGUUGUGUUGUUGUCCUGUUUGUCUCUUUCAUAUUUUUCUGUUGAAGUCUAGUUCCAGAAGAGCAGUUAGGACUGAAAUCUCUCUAUUUAACAGGACUUUACUGAAACAGUUCAGCAACACUCAGGAUCCACAUUUAUGGAUUUGUUCAGUAGGAAAUAUGCUCGUCUACUGAUUAUUGGAAUCGGAUUAAUGGCUCUCGUGCAGUUAGGAGGGAACAAUGCAAUAACUUCUUUUGCCAGUUCAAUUUUUAGAGCAGCUGGUUGUUCGGCAGACUCAGCAUCUCAAGUCAUGGUUGUUCUCCAGCUUCCAUUUGCAGUCGCGAGUAUUAUCCUUACAGAAAAAGCUGGAAGACGACUUCUUAUGCUGGCACCAUGUACGCACAAGAUUGUUAGAAGAACAUUCCUACUUUGCAACAGUAAUGCAGUUUCCUCAGGGACUGCUGUUCUACCAGCAUCCUCCUCUGUCAGACCAAGCAGUAAACCUAGUUCUAUUCAACGAAGUGAUGCAAUUGUGCCUAAGAUCACUGCCAUUCCUCUUCCUGCCACUUGCACCAUGACAUUUCUCCAUCUCACUCAGAUAUCUUAGUCUCCAUGGAUGAAUCUAUGGACACAGUGAGAAGUCUAUUCAACAUGUACAGUUUCCUCUUUAUCAAUUACUUUAUGGCUUUGGAGGAAUCUUGACAAGAUUGACAACAUUCAACAACUUAGGAAAUUGGAGGACUCAAUUUCAAAAUCUCUUAACGAAAUCGCAAAGCAUAAGGGAUUUUGAGAAAGUGAAGUUCAGGGAAAUGUUACUUUCUGACCUGGAACUUCCAUUGGAAAGGGACAAGAAAAGAAAGGUGACAUUGAACUGAAGUUCUUUGAAUUACAUGACUUGAAAGCCGUGACAGACAUUUUUUCCCCUGAUAAUAAGCUUGGCGAAGGAGGUUUUGGGACUGUUUUCAAGGUAAUGGAGCCAGGUGCAAGGGGGUCUUAUUUGAAGGAUUAAGAGAAGACAGAAAUGUACAAGAAGCAUAAGGAAAACCCAGAGUUGUAUACAGUUGAGUGCUUAGCAAAAGAUUACAGGAUCAUGAGGCAGAGGGUUCAUGCAAUUCUAUGGCUGAAGGAACUUGAGGAGGAGGAGGAAAAGAAGAAGCUUGGGCGUUCAUUGGAUGACUCGGUUGAGCUCUUGCUUGAUGCAUGCCCAGAGCAUAUGUUCAACAGUUGGAGAGCAGCAGGAUGAAGCUGACACAACUAGAACAGGAGCUUCAACGAGCUCGGCAACAGGUUUGUUCAGUAAAUCCUGUGUCCUUAUCUGUUUCUUUCUUUGAUCACCUAAAUAUCUAGCACCUCUUUAGAAAUUAGCUCACAAUCUCUCCGAUCAGUUUUUUAAGACAAUGUUUUUCUUUCCCCAAAGGAAAUAUUUAUUUCAGGUUCAGGAAACCAAUCACAGUCGAUGAGUGGAAAUGGAGCUUUGGCAUUUGAUGUAGAAUAUGCCUGAUGGUUGGAAAAGCAGAACCGACGAAUUAAUGAGUUAAGGGG